Lethenteron reissneri (Far Eastern brook lamprey) is the source of this 1185-nucleotide long non-coding RNA. RefSeq lists it as uncharacterized. The record is from RefSeq and is a predicted model, not a curated record. Lineage: Eukaryota; Metazoa; Chordata; Hyperoartia; Petromyzontiformes; Petromyzontidae.
GGAGGUGGUGGAGGUGUGGAUGAGGAGGAGUAGGUGUGGAGGUGAUGAUGGAGAUGGUGGUGGAGGUUGUGGAGGAAGAGGAGGAGGAGGUUAUGAUGUAGGAGGUGAUGGAGGAGGGAGUAAGACACACACCUGAGAACCAGGUGGUCUGGUCGGCUGCAAACAACGAGAGGAAUGCAACAUCUGCCGCGCGAUCAGUCACUGAGUUCGGUGCGCUUCGUGCACACCUCCCUUCAUUCCUCCGCAGCUGUGGCCGAGGCCAUGGGUUGUGCUAAAGGGAUUCCUGCGGAGCGCCGGGCUUGACUGCAGGUGGCUGGGAGAUUUUGCAAGGAGCAGCGCACGCUCGGUUGACGGUGGCUGGCGAAACGUCGGACAGCACGCGAUGGAGGAGAGCCGCCAUCCGGCACAACCGUAGAAAUCAAACCCACGAAUUCCGUGCGUGCGUGCGGUGUCGCUGUGUCAUCAACCGGCGUGUGUGCGCUGCCGCACUUGAAGAUAUCCAAGCCGCGUGUCUGUUUCCAGCCGGCCAUCUCGCACAGGACGCCUUCUCGGGUUUCCCUCCUUCGCCGUGCUGAAAAAAGGGUGAGUCUGUUACGCGUGAACCUUCACAACAACGGGGCAGGACAGAUGAUGGCUGAUGGUCAAGGCUGGUGGCGGAGCGCUCGACAGAGAAUGGAGCGUGUGGGAUAGUGGGCAGAUGGAGUGAAGAUGACAUCGGCUCGUGUGCAGGUGCCAUGUGGAUUAUCAUCACAUCACAGCCUCGCGAGAGAUGCCUUCAUUCAGCAAUGGAUUGACCAUCACUGUUGCUGAUGAUGAUGAUGAAUGCUCUAUAGCAGCCCAUAAUGAGUAUUAUAGAUGUAUGAUUUUGUGAGUGUAUGUGUGCUAAGGCCCUAACUGACGACACCCAGCCUGACUCUGCUGAUGCGACCACGGAGGUCAAAUCCAGUCCAGAGUUUUGUCUGUUUAGACAAAUGCUGGCGGAUAAACACGGUUCAGACAGCCAACAGGAUGAAGUGCGAAAGGAAACGCGUUAAGUGAUAAUUAGCCUCCACAGGAGGCCGAUCGCUUGGUUUACUGAUAAUGGGGUUUGUGUAUUUGGAAGUGUUUUGGCACGAGAUUUUGAAGCGUUGUUAAAGGGACGACCUUCUUAACCCGCCCGGUGAGUGAAACCAAUAAAACUCUCAA